RNAcentral lists this ribosomal RNA (495 nucleotides) under uncultured bacterium. RNAcentral's name for it is "partial 16S ribosomal RNA". It matches the Rfam family "Bacterial small subunit ribosomal RNA", at positions 28 to 507 of the family's 1533-position model. The record is from RNAcentral.
GACGAACGCUGGCGGCGUGCCUAAUACAUGCAAGUAGAACGCUGAAGGAGGAGCUUGCUUCUCUGGAUGAGUUGCGAACGGGUGAGUAACGCGUAGGUAACCUGCCUGGUAGCGGGGGAUAACUAUUGGAAACGAUAGCUAAUACCGCAUAAUAGCAGUUGUUGCAUGACAACUGUUUGAAAGGUGCAAUUGCACCACUACCAGAUGGACCUGCGUUGUAUUAGCUAGUUGGUGGGGUAACGGCUCACCAAGGCGACGAUACAUAGCCGACCUGAGAGGGUGAUCGGCCACACUGGGACUGAGACACGGCCCAGACUCCUACGGGAGGCAGCAGUAGGGAAUCUUCGGCAAUGGACGGAAGUCUGACCGAGCAACGCCGCGUGAGUGAAGAAGGUUUUCGGAUCGUAAAGCUCUGUUGUAAGAGAAGAACGAGUGUGAGAGUGGAAAGUUCACACUGUGACGGUAUCUUACCAGAAGGGGACGGCUAACUACGUG